Molecule: ribosomal RNA, 492 nt
Filed under: uncultured bacterium
Lineage: Bacteria
Description: partial 16S ribosomal RNA
Rfam family: Bacterial small subunit ribosomal RNA
Source: RNAcentral
AGUGAACGCUGGCGGUAGGCCUAACACAUGCAAGUCGAACGGCAGCACAGUAAGAGCUUGCUCUUACGGGUGGCGAGUGGCGGACGGGUGAGGAAUACAUCGGAAUCUACUUUUUCGUGGGGGAUAACGUAGGGAAACUUACGCUAAUACCGCAUACGACCUACGGGUGAAAGCAGGGGAUCUUCGGACCUUGCGCGAUUGAAUGAGCCGAUGUCGGAUUAGCUAGUUGGCGGGGUAAAGGCCCACCAAGGCGACGAUCCGUAGCUGGUCUGAGAGGAUGAUCAGCAACACGGGAACUGAGACACGGUCCAGACUCCUACGGGAGGCAGCAGUGGGGAAUAUUGGACAAUGGGCGCAAGCCUGAUCCAGCCAUACCGCGUGGGUGAAGAAGGCCUUCGGGUUGUAAAGCCCUUUUGUUGGGAAAGAAAAGCAGCAGGUUAAUACCCCGCUGUUCUGACGGUACCCAAAGAAUAAGCACCGGCUAACUUCGUG